RNAcentral lists this ribosomal RNA (397 nucleotides) under uncultured bacterium. RNAcentral describes it as "partial 16S ribosomal RNA". It matches the Rfam family "Bacterial small subunit ribosomal RNA", at positions 523 to 918 of the family's 1533-position model. The record is from RNAcentral.
AUACGUAGGGGGCGAGCGUUGUCCGGAAUGAUUGGGCGUAAAGGGCGCGUAGGCGGCCCGGUAAGUCUGGAGUGAAAGUCCUGUUUUUAAGAUGGGAAUUGCUUUGGAUACUGUCGGGCUUGAGUGCAGGAGAGGUAAGUGGAACUCCCAGUGUAGCGGUGAAAUGCGUAGAGAUUGGGAGGAACACCAGUGGCGAAGGCGACUUACUGGACUGUAACUGACGCUGAGGCGCGAAAGUGUGGGGAGCAAACAGGAUUAGAUACCCUGGUAGUCCACACUGUAAACGAUGAAUGCUAGGUGUAGGGGGUAUCGACCCCUUCUGUGCCGCAGUCAACACAAUAAGCAUUCCGCCUGGGGAGUACGGCCGCAAGGUUGAAACUCAAAGGAAUUGACGGGG